CCCUUAGAUGUUCUGGGCCGCACGCGCGCUACACUGAUACAAGCAGCAAGUCGUUUCCUGGGCCGAAAGGUCUGGGUAAUCUUGUGAAAUUGUAUCGUGAUAGGGCUUGACGAUUGUAAUUAUUUGUCACAAACGAGGAAUUCCUAGUAAGCGCAAGUCAUCAACUUGCACUGAUUACGUCCCUGCCCUUUGUACACACCGCCCGUCGCUCCUACCGAUUGAAUGGUCCGGUGAAGCGUUCGGACCGUGGCCUUUGGACGGUUCGCCGUCUGUUGGCUGCGGGAAGUUCGUUAAACCUUAUCAUUUAGAGGAAGGAGAAGUCGUAACA
RNAcentral lists this ribosomal RNA (328 nucleotides) under uncultured eukaryote. RNAcentral describes it as "partial 18S ribosomal RNA". It matches the Rfam family "Eukaryotic small subunit ribosomal RNA", at positions 1470 to 1796 of the family's 1831-position model. The record is from RNAcentral.